UGAGGAAUUUUCCGCAAUGGGCGAAAGCCUGACGGAGCAAUGCCGCGUGGAGGAUGAAGGCCUGUGGGUCGUAAACUCCUUUUCUCGGAAAAGAAAUUCUGACGGUAUCUGAGGAAUAAGCAUCGGCUAACCCCGUGCCAGCAGCCGCGGUAAUACGGGGGAUGCAAGCGUUAUCCGGAAUGAUUGGGCGUAAAGCGUCUGUAGGUGGUUUCUUAAGUCGAAUGUCAAAUAUCAGGGCUUAACCCUGAGCCGGCAUUCGAAACUAAGAGGCUUGAGUACGGUAGGGGCAGAGGGAAUUCCCGGUGUAGCGGUGAAAUGCGUAGAGAUCGGGAAGAACACCAACGGCGAAGGCACUCUGCUGGGCCGACACUGACACUGAGAGACGAAAGCUAGGGUAGCGAAUGGG
RNAcentral lists this ribosomal RNA (406 nucleotides) under uncultured bacterium. RNAcentral describes it as "bacterial SSU rRNA". It matches the Rfam family "Bacterial small subunit ribosomal RNA", at positions 355 to 776 of the family's 1533-position model. The record is from RNAcentral.